GUGCGAGUUGAGACGCACGCGGGGCCCCCGCCGGGGGCUCUGAGGACUCUGACAAGGUCUAUUUAGGAAGCGGAUGAGAUCAUGGGCCUGAAACACUUUAGCCUUCAAGGCAGAGCAGUGUUAAUUCCGGUAUUAGCAAGUAACGGAGGCUGACAAGAUGCUGACAAGCUUAAGGGCUGGUGCUUGAAAGAAGCUUUUCCAGGAGAUAAGGUGUAUUUGAACAUGUGAUGAUUGAUAUAUACAGAAUAGAGUUUUUUGCUAUUUGUCCUUUUCAUGGUGGUAGCAGGGGUGAAUUUUAGGAAAAAACUGCCAAGUAUCUGUAAAAAUAUAUAUCUGCCCUGUAGAGAAUUUUUGGCAGAAUUCACUUCCAUUAUUUAAAACAGUUUUUCUGCCAUCCAGCCUGAAUCUUGACACAGUAGCUAGACUAGCUAUUCUACAACUAUCUUAAAAGAGAAUUUGGUUAGCUGCUUUAAUUUACAAAGGUUAUUUUUAAAUCCCAUUCUUUUGACUAUGCUAAACCUCUGGGUUUUGUGCUUGCAGUUUUGUUUAUCAUUUUGAUGGUUAAAUUUGACCCAUUGUAUACAGGACAGAUAAGUGGAGGAGUUUGUUGCAUAGCAUUUUGAGGGUAGGGCCUGAGGAACUGUUCUACACUUUGAUUAUAGUGGUAAUUACAUCUGUCAGAAAUUUGGAGUGAGUUUUACUGAAUGUAAAUUCAAUUUCAAUAAAUAUGACUUAAAAACUUUCCCUUUCUGGCAUCUUAAAUGAGAUUUCCAAUGAAAUCUGUGGGAAGACUUGGGUCAGUGAUAAAACAGCUGAGAAUAAAGUGGGC
Bos taurus (domestic cattle) is the source of this 829-nucleotide long non-coding RNA. The record is from Ensembl. NCBI's taxonomy places the organism in Eukaryota, Metazoa, Chordata, Mammalia, Artiodactyla, Bovidae.